GAUGAACGCUGGCGGCGUGCCUAAUACAUGCAAGUCGAGCGAACAGACGAGGAGCUUGCUCCCCUGACGUUAGCGGCGGACGGGUGAGUAACACGUGGAUAACCUACCUAUAAGACUGGGAUAACUUCGGGAAACCGCAGCUAAUACCGGAUAAUAUAUUGAACCGCAUGGUUCAAUAGUGAAAGACGGCUUUGCUGUCACUUAUAGAUGGAUCCGCGCCGCAUUAGCUAGUUGGUAAGGUAACGGCUUACCAAGGCGACGAUGCGUAGCCGACCUGAGAGGGUGAUCGGCCACACUGGAACUGAGACACGGUCCAGACUCCUACGGGAGGCAGCAGUAGGGAAUCUUCCGCAAUGGGCGAAAGCCUGACGGAGCAACGCCGCGUGAGUGAUGAAGGUCUUCGGAUCGUAAAGCUCUGUUAUUAGGGAAGAACAAAUGUGUAAGUAACUAUGCACGUCUUGACGGUACCUAAUCAGAAAGCCCCGGCUAACUACGUG
Molecule: ribosomal RNA, 497 nt
Filed under: uncultured bacterium
Lineage: Bacteria
Description: partial 16S ribosomal RNA
Rfam family: Bacterial small subunit ribosomal RNA
Source: RNAcentral